GCUCGCAGGCGGUUUCUUAAGUCUGAUGUGAAAGCCCCCGGCUCAACCGGGGAGGGUCAUUGGAAACUGGGAAACUUGAGUGCAGAAGAGGAGAGUGGAAUUCCACGUGUAGCGGUGAAAUGCGUAGAGAUGUGGAGGAACACCAGUGGCGAAGGCGACUCUCUGGUCUGUAACUGACGCUGAGGAGCGAAAGCGUGGGGAGCGAACAGGAUUAGAUACCCUGGUAGUCCACGCCGUAAACGAUGAGUGCUAAGUGUUAGGGGGUUUCCGCCCCUUAGUGCUGCAGCUAACGCAUUAAGCACUCCGCCUGGGGAGUACGGUCGCAAGACUGAAACUCAAAGGAAUUGACGGGGGCCCGCACAAGCGGUGGAGCAUGUGGUUUAAUUCGAAGCAACGCGAAGAACCUUACCAGGUCUUGACAUCCUCUGACAACCCUAGAGAUAGGGCUUUCCCUUCGGGGACAGAGUGACAGGUGGUGCAUGGUUGUCGUCAGCUCGUGUCGUGAGAUGUUGGGUUAAGUCCCGCAACGAGCGCAACCCUUGAUCUUAGUUGCCAGCAUUCAGUUGGGCACUCUAAGGUGACUGCCGGUGACAAACCGGAGGAAGGUGGGGAUGACGUCAAAUCAUCAUGCCCCUUAUGACCUGGGCUACACACGUGCUACAAUGGACAGAACAAAGGGCUGCAAGACCGCAAGGUUUAGCCAAUCCCAUAAAUCUGUUCUCAGUUCGGAUCGCAGUCUGCAACUCGACUGCGUGAAGCUGGAAUCGCUAGUAAUCGCGGAUCACAUGCCGGGGGGAAAAACCUUUCCCGGGGCCUUGUACACACCGCCCGUCA
RNAcentral lists this ribosomal RNA (834 nucleotides) under Bacillus pumilus. RNAcentral's name for it is "bacterial SSU rRNA". It matches the Rfam family "Bacterial small subunit ribosomal RNA", at positions 567 to 1399 of the family's 1533-position model. Lineage: Bacteria; Bacillati; Bacillota; Bacilli; Caryophanales; Bacillaceae. The record is from RNAcentral.